UAUUUUGGAUUAUGAUGAAUGC
RNAcentral lists this non-coding RNA (22 nucleotides) under Arabidopsis thaliana (thale cress). Lineage: Eukaryota; Viridiplantae; Streptophyta; Magnoliopsida; Brassicales; Brassicaceae. The record is from RNAcentral.